This 82-nucleotide transfer RNA is filed under the name Dreissena polymorpha. RNAcentral's name for it is "tRNA-Ser". Lineage: Eukaryota; Metazoa; Mollusca; Bivalvia; Myida; Dreissenidae. The record is from RNAcentral.
AGUAUCGUGGCCGAGUGGGUAAGGCGCUAUGAAUUAGAGAUCUUUUGGGAUUUUCCGCGCAGGUUCGAUUCCUGCGACAUCG